This 1352-nucleotide long non-coding RNA is filed under the name Eutrema salsugineum. RNAcentral's name for it is "long non-coding RNA (ESAL_LNC001242)". Lineage: Eukaryota; Viridiplantae; Streptophyta; Magnoliopsida; Brassicales; Brassicaceae. The record is from RNAcentral.
GUGAAAAUAGAUUUUCAUUGAAUUUAGAUGGAAAGAAACACUCUCCUCCAUUCUCAAUUCCAUGUCCGUAGCUCUCCUAGCUCGUGACAUUCACCAAACUAUUAAGAGUAAGCUGGGGAGUCAUUGAUAGACCUAAUAACAUCAUCUCCUAUUCUACAAUACAACCUGAUCAGGUCACGUACUUAUCUCUCUGGUUGAAUUCUUGUAUUUUGCUUAUCCCUUGCUCCCAUUCUUUUUUAAUUUUAAGCAUUUUUAUUCUCUAAGCGGCUUAAUUUGUUCUCCAAAUGGUAUCAAUGUAAGAGAAAAAUAGCGACAAGGAAUUUAUUUAUGAAAAAAAAAUAGAGACAAGGAAUAAUGCAUUUUUACUGAAAAAUCGACACAGGACAAUUAGAUAUCCGGCUUGCAAUAUUUCAGUUUGUGGUUUAUGACACUAUCAAACUUAUUAAACAAAUUAAAGUUUCAAAUAUUAAGCGUAUUACCGUUGAUUCAAAAAACAUUAAUUAAUUCAGUUCUGUUUCUUUUCCACCCCUAACUCUGCAUACUCUUGAGAUCUUACAUAUAUUACAUCCCCAUGCAGAACUAUUAAACUAAUGUAUUCUCUCUUUAGUCUUUGUUUUCAGUAUCAUAACCAACUUAAUAUUCAUCAUAAUUAUAAGUAUAUGUCUUUAUCGGGAAAGGAUAAAGGAUAAGUUUAUGCCUCUUAAUCGAAGAUUUCUUAAAAAUACUAGUUUUAGGAUCAUAGACGUGUAGUAUAAAAAGACUCGAGAGUUGAGGUGUAGCAUUAACGAAUCGACGGCCAUGCGUUUUCAAAUUAGUUGCCUAGUCCACUUUGAUAUUGAAAAGCAUGAAUGAUGUUGAAAAUAUCUUUGAGGAGUUUACAGGAUACGGUUCGAAGUGCUAGUCACGAUCUUGUAGCCGAUUUGAGGAGAGUUGGUCCCUCAGCUAGAUAGUGGAGUGAUGGUCCAUCCGAUAAUGCAUCUCACCCUUUGUCACUGAAGUAUGUAAUUAACCUAUAGAAACCAGUCAAAACAAUAUGAUUAAAACUCAAAUUAAUAAAGAACAAGAAGGAAAAAAUAAAAGAGUUCAAGAUAAUUCAGUGCCAGAGGGUGAGAUUGGUUUCUAAAGGUUCUUUAUCUCUUUCAUCACUCUUUUUUUUUUUUAAUAUUAAUUUAAAAGUUAAACUAGAUACAAUUAAAAGGCCGGCUAUUCUUUCGGGCACUUAGUGAUGUUAACUAUUAUUGAACAAUCGGUCUUUAGGGCAUCUCCAAAAGUAACCUCAAAUCUUCGAAUAUGAAUUUUUGUUCACUCUAAAAGCAACUCUAAAACUUCAAAUUUUGAGGUUUUGAAUAGUG